RNAcentral lists this long non-coding RNA (277 nucleotides) under Homo sapiens (human). Its description in RNAcentral is "HSALNT0028106". The record is from RNAcentral. Lineage: Eukaryota; Metazoa; Chordata; Mammalia; Primates; Hominidae.
GUUGGCUCCUAAUAUUUAGAAAAAUGAAGUAGGACUCUUCAAAGCUCCUUUUUAAAAUUAACUUGUUUCCUUCAACUUCAGUAUAUUAUUGAACAUUUGAAUACAUCUUUAUGAGAAAAUAGUGUGCACCCAGCUAGCAGCUGCUGAGAAAUUCAAAUUUCAAGGUGAAGCUGUCUCAAACAUUCAAGAAAACACACAGACUCCAACUGUACAAGAGGAGAGUGAAGAGGAAGAGGUUGAUGAAACAGGUGUAGAAGUUAAGGACAUAAGGCCUGGC